GAUGAACGCUGGCGGCGUGCCUAAUACAUGCAAGUCGAGCGAACGGACGAGAAGCUUGCUUUUCUGAUGUUAGCGGCGGACGGGUGAGUAACACGUGGAUAACCUACCUGUAAGACUGGGAUAACUUCGGGAAACCGGAGCUAAUACCGGAUAAUAUUUUGAACCGCAUGGUUCAAAAGUGAAAGACGGUCUUGCUGUCACUUAUAGAUGGAUCCGCGCUGCAUUAGCUAGUUGGUAAGGUAACGGCUUACCAAGGCAACGAUGCAUAGCCGACCUGAGAGGGUGAUCGGCCACACUGGAACUGAGACACGGUCCAGACUCCUACGGGAGGCAGCAGUAGGGAAUCUUCCGCAAUGGGCGAAAGCCUGACGGAGCAACGCCGCGUGAGUGAUGAAGGUCUUCGGAUCGUAAAACUCUGUUAUUAGGGAAGAACAUAUGUGUAAGUAACUGUGCACAUCUUGACGGUACCUAAUCAGAAGGCCACGGCUAACUACGUG
Molecule: ribosomal RNA, 497 nt
Filed under: uncultured bacterium
Lineage: Bacteria
Description: partial 16S ribosomal RNA
Rfam family: Bacterial small subunit ribosomal RNA
Source: RNAcentral